RNAcentral lists this ribosomal RNA (253 nucleotides) under uncultured bacterium. RNAcentral describes it as "partial 16S ribosomal RNA". It matches the Rfam family "Bacterial small subunit ribosomal RNA", at positions 524 to 776 of the family's 1533-position model. The record is from RNAcentral.
UACGGGGGGGGCAAGCGUUGUUCGGAAUUACUGGGCGUAAAGGGCUCGUAGGCGGCCAAUUAAGUCAGACGUGAAAUCCCUCGGCUCAACUGGGGAACUGCGUCUGAUACUGGAUGGCUUGAGUGUGGGAGAGGGAUGCGGAAUUCCAGGUGUAGCGGUGAAAUGCGUAGAUAUCUGGAGGAACACCGGUGGCGAAGGCGGCAUCCUGGACCACGACUGACGCUGAGGAGCGAAAGCCAGGGGAGCAAACGGG